RNAcentral lists this ribosomal RNA (579 nucleotides) under uncultured bacterium. RNAcentral's name for it is "partial 16S ribosomal RNA". It matches the Rfam family "Bacterial small subunit ribosomal RNA", at positions 355 to 932 of the family's 1533-position model. The record is from RNAcentral.
UGGGGAAUAUUGGACAAUGGGCGCAAGCCUGAUCCAGCCAUACCGCGUGGGUGAAGAAGGCCUUCGGGUUGUAAAGCCCUUUUGUUGGGAAGAAAAGCAUUCGGUUAAUACCCGAUUGUUCUGACGGUACCCAAAGAAUAAGCACCGGCUAACUUCGUGCCAGCAGCCGCGGUAAUACGAAGGGUGCAAGCGUUACUCGGAAUUACUGGGCGUAAAGCGUGCGUAGGUGGUUGUUUAAGUCUGUCGUGAAAGCCCUGGGCUCAACCUGGGAAUUGCGAUGGAAACUGGGCGACUAGAGUGUGGCAGAGGGUAGUGGAAUUCCUGGUGUAGCAGUGAAAUGCGUAGAGAUCAGGAGGAACAUCCGUGGCGAAGGCGACUGCCUGGGCCAACACUGACACUGAGGCACGAAAGCGUGGGGAGCAAACAGGAUUAGAUACCCUGGUAGUCCACGCCCUAAACGAUGCGAACUGGAUGUUGGGUGCAAUUUGGCACGCAGUAUCGAAGCUAACGCGUUAAGUUCGCCGCCUGGGAGUACGGUCGCAAGACUGAAACUCAAAUGAAUUGACGGGGUCAUAGCUG